AAUACUACUAAUCACGAGAAGCUUUAUUCUGGUUCACGAUUAGCGCUUAUUUAAGCGCUGCACGGGCGCGCGAUAGGGGCUGAUGGCCGCCAAGCACGCACGCCUGCAUACGCUAUACGACUGUGCGCAACAUCACACAUACAUAUACUGCUGACAUGCAUACAUAUACACACAUCGUAGUGUGCUCCGUUACGUGUAAGCUCAGUCAUCGGCCCUGACGACGAAGUUCUCCUUGCGCUCGUGGAACUCCCCGGUGCGGGUGUUGAAGUCCUCCUCGAGCCUGCUCUCGCGCACCUCGAAGUGACCAGAGCCGCGGCCGUGGUGACCGUGGUGACCGUGGCGGCGGCCGGAGGUGUCGAACUCCUGCACGAACGUCUCCUUGACGAUGUGCUCCUGCACGCCGCCGCCGCGGCGGGCCGGGUUGCCCACCGCCCUCACCUCCUCCGAGCAGUAGUCCACCUCCUGGAAGUGCGCCAUGCCGAUCGGUCGAUGUUACUAUGUGCUUGGUUGGGUUUGUGUGUGUUGGUGCGUUGUAGGACGAAGAAUGUUGUGGGACGAAGUGCGCUUUUAUAGUGUGGUUCCGUGCAUGAGUGGGGCAGGGAAUUUCCUCGCGAAAGACACAUCUGCACACUGCUUUCUGCCUUCUUCCUUCACUUUUUUCUAGCAUCCUCUAAGAAUUUUUGGCCAGGAGGAUCGAUACCUUGGCGGCUUUGGUGCCCAUUUUAGGUUUAUGUUGAACAUUUGGAAAAAGAACUAAUUCUCCCGCAAAAAAAAGGAAAGAAGAACUAAUUAACGGCUCACGCUGAUCUGUUGUUUGCUCCCCCUUCUGACGAGGAUACUGCGAAGAGAGCUAUUUUAGCAGUAGCUUACCGUUACCUCUCUGAUGUUGCUUCUGAUCGAUCAACGUACUAGUUUGCAGCGGCAAGCACCGGUCUAUCAUAAUCAACUAAGACCAUCUCCAACGGGCGCGCAACGCGCCGCGUGUUAAAAUAACUUUUACAGCGUCGAAAUAGCAUCUUUUUGCGUGCAGUAUGAUGCUAGCUUCAGCGGCCGCUGUAAAAUAUAACGCGCGCAAGUAGCUUCAGCAGGCGCGGUAAAUUUACAGCACUCAUGCCCAGCACAAACAAUAUUUCACAUUCAAAAUAGAACCAAGAAGAUCAAACACGUAAAAAAAAUAAAUCAACAAUAAAUAAUUCAAUUUAUUACAACUCAAACAAAUAGUUCAACAAUACAACAUCAAACAUACAACAUCACUAGUUUUGUCGGUCAUUUCAUGCCCACCACUCCUCGAUUAGAUCCUUUUGAAGAUCAUCAUGCGUUUCGGCACGUCGAAUGGCAUUGAUAAGAGGCAACAAAUCGGGCCACCCUAGCAGCCCUCCGCCGUACUCGCACUGGACGUCCCAAGAGCUCAUACUGAGAAUAGUCUAAAUCUUGCCCACGCUCAUUCUCGUUGAUCAUGUUAUGCAUGAUCACACAAGCUUUCAUGAUGUACCAAAGGAUCUUUUGAUCCUAAAAUCUAGCCGGUCCUCUCACAAUAGCAUAUAGGGUUUGCAAAAUCCCAAAGCUUUCUCCACAUUUUUUCUAGCCGCCGCCUGAGCAUCGUGGAAAUCAAGAUUUUUCUUACUUUCCGAUUUUUUUUCAACGGCUUCACAAAUGUUUGCCACUUUGGAUAGAUGCCAUCCGCAAGAUAGUAGUCAUAGUUGUAUGUAUGGCCAUUUGCUACAAACUCCACCGGUGUAGUUUCACCAUUUGCAAUCUUAUUCCUGAGUGGUGACCGGUUAAGAACGUCGAUGUCAUUCAAAGAUCCCGGCAUUGCAAAAAAAAAAACAUGGCAAAUCCAAGUCUCUUGAUUGGCCACUACUUCAAGGAUUAUAGUGGAACCCUUUUUCUGGCCGAGGAAUUGUUCAUGCCAUGUCUUAGGACAGUUCUUCCAACUUCAAUGCAUGCAAUCUAUUGAGCCAAGCAUGCCUGGCAACCUGCGAGCUUUGUUCAUCUCCAAAAGCCUUGCGGUGUCUUAAGCAUUGGGAGCUCUCAAAUACUCCGGACCAAACACUUGCACAAUUCCGACCGCGAAGCGCUUGACAUACAUGAUGGAUUGACUCUCACCCAUGACCAAGUGAUCAUCAACUAGAUCAGACGGAAUACCGUAUGCCAACAUACGCAAAGCGGCUGUCACCUUUUGAAAGGUGCUAUGCCCGAGUUCUCCGGCGGCAUUCCUUCUUUGCUGAAACAACCGACCAUGGCUCGCCAGUUUCUCUGCAAUGCGUUUGAACAACUCAAUGCUCAUCCUAAAACGACGCCGAAAGUAUGACUCGGGGUAUGUGGGAUUCUCUACAGAAUAGUGCAUCAUCAAUCUGUUGUUGGCAUCGAUCUUAUCCCUCCAAAUUUUCUGACGACCCAUAACCGAACCACCGUGCUUCGGCUUUUUAUUGACGUGCAUAGUUAGGAUCAUUGCAAGGUCCUCCGCCUCUUGAAUAUCAAAUUCUUCGUCGGAAGAAUCAUAGGACGAACUAAUCUACAAUAUUGACUUUAAACUAGUCUAUAAAACUACAAACAACAUGCAUCAAAUUCAUCUAUAAAAUAUGAAGUUGAAGCAAUACAUACCUUGCAAGCGUUUUUUCAAACACCUUGUGGGCACCGAGCGGCAGCGGGCGGCCGGGCGCUGUUCGUCGGAGGAAUGGCGCGCUCGAGGGGCGGCAGCGACGAGAGGAGGUGGAGAAAGCAGCGGCGGCGCGCUGGGAUAGGCGGGGGAAGCGCUGACGGGUCGCCGGAGCAAAUGGGGAAGGUGUGGGCGGCGGCACCAGCGCCUGGAUCUGGCGGUUGGUGGAAGUCGUGCGCGAGUCGUCGCUGUCCAGCGCGCGAGAGUGUGCGCACGAAAUAAACAGCGCGCGAUGCCGUUUUGCUCCAUAAGUUGAACCAAUUAUACCACGCACGUGUUUUUUGCGCGUUUGCUGGAGCACCCGUCCAGGCUGCGCGCGCAAAAAAAGGUGAUCGUGCGCCUGUUGGAGAUGCUUCUAAACAUUCCCCAUUUAUUAGUUAACUUAGCGUUAGUUUCUCUAACUCGUAAGAGAAUUUGUUAGUAUAAAUUCAGUUUCUUCGUAGAAGUACCGGAAAAUAACCUGGUGACUGGCAACGAGGGCUGCCAACAGACACGUCUCGAUGCUCAUGUCUUGUAGGUCACCUUCCAGAAUCCAGAGUGGUCGCCAGUCAUGUAAGAAUAAACUUAUCUCUUGCAAGUGGGAAUAUAUACUUGCGUCUCAGCCCUGCACUACGUUAGGAAGGACAGAAAGAUGCGCUCCGUCGAAUGAAGGAUCUGGUACAGAAUAGUCACCAAGUUAACUGACAUGCAUGGUCGUGAUAAGCCAUGAUACCACUCUUGAAUUGCUAAAAGCAUCUCCAACGGCCGCAUUAUAUACGCGUCGCGCGGAAAAAGUAAUGGUUUUAGCGCGCGCUAUCAUUCCGGGCGCUCCAGCGGACGCGCAAAAACCGCGCGCGCGGCAUAUGUAAUUCAGCGCGCGGGCGAAAACGCCAUCGCGCGCCGUUUAUUUGCUGCGCCCGCUCCCGCGCGCUGGACUCUCGAGCGCUCGCGCGAAACUACACCUACCCAUCCAGCCGCGCCGCCGCCGCCAUCCGCGCCACCCCAUUUUUCCGGCGACCGUUCCGGCGCUUCCCCGGUCUCUUCCCGCAUGGCCGCGGCUUCCUCCCUCUCUCUCUAGUCAGCGCCGCCCGUUGCGCGCGGCAGUCCUCCGACGAACAGCGCCCGGCCGCCCACCGCCGCUUGGCGCCCGCAAGGUGUUCGACAAAAGACCCACAAGGUAUGUAUUGCUUCCAACUUCCACAUUUUUACAUGAAAUUUGGUGCAUGUUGUUUAUAGCCUAGUUUUGAACAUUUUAGAUGAGUUCGUCAUAUGAUUCUUCCGAAGAAGAAUUUGAUACGGAAGAAGAGGUGGAUCUUGCAAUGAUCCUAGCUAUGCACAUCAAUAAAAAACCGAAGCACGGUGGUUCGGUUAUGGGUCGGCAGAAAAUUUGGAGAGAUAGGAUUGAUGCCCGCAACAAAUUGAUGAGGCACUAUUUUGUGGAUAAUCCCAUAUACCCCGAGUCGUACUUUCAUCGCUGGUUUAGGAUGAGCACUGAGUUGUUCAGGCGCAUUGCAGAGAAACUAGCGAGCCAUGACCGGUUUUUUCAGCAGAGGAGGAAUGCCACCGGAGAGCUCGGGCAUAGAACCUUUCAGAAGGUGACAACCACUUUGCGUAUGUUGGCAUACGGUAUCCCCGCUGAUCUAGUUCAUGAUCACUUGGCCAUGGGUGAGAGCCAAGCCAUCAUGUGUGUCAAGCGCUUCGCAGUCGGAGUUGUGCAAGUGUUUGGCCCGGAGUACUUGAGAACUCCCAAUGCUGAAGACGUUGCAAGGCUAUUGGAGAUGAACAAAACUCGCGGGUUCCCAGGUAUGCUUGGCUCAAUAGAUUGCAUGCAUUGGAGUUGGAAAAAUUGUCCAAAGGCAUGGCAUGGCCAAUUCCACGGACAAAAAAAGGAUUCCACUAUAAUCCUUGAAGCGGUGGCCGAUCAAGAGACUUGGAUUUGGCAUGCUUUUUUUGGAAUGCCUGGAUCUUUGAAUGACAUCAACGUUGUCAACCGGUCACCACUGAUGAGUAAGAUUGCAAAUCGUGAACUGUCACCGGUGCAGUUUGUAGCUAAUGGUCGUACAUACAACCAUGGCUACUAUCUUGCGGAUGGCAUCUACCCAAAGUGGCAAACAUUUGUGAAGCCGUUGAAAAAACUGGUAGGUAAGAAAUAUCUUGAUUUCCACAAUACUCAGGCGGCGGCUAGAAAAGAUGUGGAGAGAGCUUUUGGGAUUUUGCAAGCCCAAUUUGCUAUUGUGAGAGGACCGGCUAGAUUUUGGGAUCAGAAGAUGCUUUGGUACAUAAUGCACGCUUGUGUGAUCAUGCACACCAUGAUCAUCGAGAAUGAGCGUGGCCAAGAUGUAGACUACUCUCACUAUGAGCUCUUGGGACAUCCCGUGCGAGUGCGGCGGAGGGCUGAAAGGGUGGCCCGUUUUGUUGCCUCUUAUCAUGCCAUUCGACGUCCGACAGCACAUAAUGAACUCAAGAAGGAUCUCAUUGAGGAGUGGUGGGCUUGGAAUGGCCGCCAAAGAGCAUCAUGAUUUGUGCGUUUGAUAUUGUAUUGUUGAACUAUUUGUUGUAUUUCAUGAAAGAUACUAUUUGUUUGAGUUGUAAUAAAUUGAAUUAUUCAUUUUAAACUUGGUUGAAUGAUGUUUGUGAUUUAAAAAUUAUAUGCCAUGUCUUUGUUUUGUGGAUGUGUUGUGAGACAAAAUGCAACAAAUGUGAUGCGCCAGCUGCUCGCGCGCGCUGCAUUUUAGCGCGGCUGCUCGAGCCAGCGCUGUGCGCUGCGCCAAACCUGACGAUGGGCGCGCCGCAAACCAGAUUUUAGCGUGUCGCGCGUUGGGCGCCUGUUGGAGAUGCUCUAAGGACAUCUUCAAUGGCGUCCCCAAAUCGGAUGCAUCUUUGGACAUUGAUACAAAAGCCGGCCUUCCAACACUAUUCAUCAAACGCCUGUCCGUCUUUUCUCUUUUUCAAAAUCCGCAGCGCUUAAAAUAACUAUAGAUAAGAAAAAAAUUGAGUAGUCAAAAAAUUCAAAUGCAACACUAGUUUAAAUAUAAUAUUAUUACCUCUUUUCCUAAAUAUAAGAAGUUUUUACAAUUUAAAUUGAACUACAAAACGUCUUAUAUUUAGGAACAGAGGGAAUACAAUCCAUAAGAAAUAGUCAAACUUGAAUUCAAUUAUGUUUUAGUUAUCCCCUUUAAUCACAUGCAAUUGCUUAAUCGGAUCAUUCUUAAGCUGCUCAUGAGUUUCUCGAUGCCGAAUAUGUUGGUGCAUCUGAACAAACUCCUCAAACAUCACUAGAUUCUAAUCUGGAAGUUGGAUAGGAUGUAAUGUUCUCAAAUUUCAUAUCUCCACCAGCUCCUUCACCCUCAUUCUCCACAAUCAUGGUGUGCAUGAUGGUAGAAGUUAUCAUCACCUCCCACAAGGCCUCUGGGUCUCAUAUUUUUGCACGUCCUCAAACAAGUGCAGAACAAGCUUGGAGAACUCUAAAUACCCUCUACAUAUCCUUAUCUCCUUCUUGUCUUUGGGCAACGUGAGCUCUUCUCUGACCAACAGGCUCAGAGAUGAUCUCGACAAAGGUCGCCCAUGAAGAAUAGAUACGAUCAACUAGAUAGUAGCACAUGUUGCAAUCAUGACCAUUGAUGGUAUAGUUGCAUGGAGGAGCUUGUCCUUUAGUCAACCUAGCAAACAAUGGAGAUGGAUGCACCAUGUUGAUAUAAUUGUGAGGCCCGGGCAUUGCCAAAGAAAACGUAUCAAAUACAGGGGUCUUGUGAUGCAAAUGAUUCAAGAAUGAUGGUGGGCUUAUUAACAAGGCCCUGAUUUUUCUCUUGUAGAGCAUAUGACCACUUCUUCCCUCUCAAGUGCAUGCAAUCAAGGGAUCCGAAUAUACCUGGCAACCCUCUUGCUUCUAGCACUAGUAGAAAAUAGGGCUUUGGUUGAGGCCUGGGUAAGGGCAUUAAUCCUGGUUCACUCACAAACUGGGACCAAAGGGGGCAUCAGUCCCGGUUCGUGAGGCCAGGGCGCCAGCCGAGCCUCGUGGGCUAUUGGUCCCGGUUCGUCUGACCCCUUUGGUCCCGGUUCCAAGCAUGAACCGGGACCAAUGGGCCUCGCUCCUAGCCCACAACCUUUAGUCCCAGUUUUAGCCACCAACCGGGACUAAAGAGAGGCCUACAUAUACCCCCGCCCCUGCCCGCGAGCAGAGCCACUGCUCUGUUUUUUGGACGACCGUGGAAGAGCUCUUUGGUGCUCUAGCUCACCUCCUAUGCACAUGAGGUGUUCAACG
This 6899-nucleotide long non-coding RNA is filed under the name Triticum aestivum (bread wheat). RNAcentral's name for it is "long non-coding RNA (TAES_LNC027841)". Lineage: Eukaryota; Viridiplantae; Streptophyta; Magnoliopsida; Poales; Poaceae. The record is from RNAcentral.